AUUACUUUGGCAGAAUAGUGCUUUAAAUUUAGAAUUUAAUUAUGUAUAAAGUUUUAUACAAGUAAUA
RNAcentral lists this transfer RNA (67 nucleotides) under Onthophagus carbonarius. RNAcentral's name for it is "tRNA-Leu". Lineage: Eukaryota; Metazoa; Arthropoda; Insecta; Coleoptera; Scarabaeidae. The record is from RNAcentral.